This 506-nucleotide ribosomal RNA is filed under the name uncultured bacterium. RNAcentral describes it as "partial 16S ribosomal RNA". It matches the Rfam family "Bacterial small subunit ribosomal RNA", at positions 29 to 523 of the family's 1533-position model. The record is from RNAcentral.
AGUGAACGCUGGCGGUAGGCCUAACACAUGCAAGUCGAACGGCAGCACAGGAGAGCUUGCUCUCUGGGUGGCGAGUGGCGGACGGGUGAGGAGUACAUCGGAAUCUACUCUGUCGUGGGGGAUAACGUAGGGAAACUUACGCUAAUACCGCAUACGACCUACGGGUGAAAGCAGGGGAUCUUCGGACCUUGCGCGAUUGAAUGAGCCGAUGUCGGAUUAGCUAGUUGGCGGGGUAAAGGCCCACCAAGGCGACGAUCCGUAGCUGGUCUGAGAGGAUGACCCGCCACACUGGAACUGAGACACGGACCAGACUCCUACGGGAGGCAGCAGUGGGGAAUAUUGGACAAUGGGCGCAAGCCUGAUCCAGCCAUACCGCGUGGGUGAAGAAGGCCUUCGGGUUGUAAAGCCCUUUUGUUGGGAAAGAAAUCCAGCUGGCUAAUACCCGGUUGGGAUGACGGUACCCAAAGAAUAAGCACCGGCUAACUUCGUGCCAGCCGCCGCCGUAA